UACGAAGGGGGCUAGCGUUGCUCGGAAUCACUGGGCGUAAAGCGCACGUAGGCGGAUCUUUAAGUCAGGGGUGAAAUCCCAAGGCUCAACCUUGGAACUGCCUUUGAUACUGGGGAUCUCGAGUCCGGAAGAGGUUGGUGGAACUCCGAGUGUAGAGGUGAAAUUCGUAGAUAUUCGGAAGAACACCAGUGGCGAAGGCGGCCAACUGGUCCGGCACUGACGCUGAGGUGCGAAAGCGUGGGUAGCAAACAGG
Molecule: ribosomal RNA, 253 nt
Filed under: uncultured bacterium
Lineage: Bacteria
Description: partial 16S ribosomal RNA
Rfam family: Bacterial small subunit ribosomal RNA
Source: RNAcentral